RNAcentral lists this ribosomal RNA (429 nucleotides) under Chloroflexota bacterium. Its description in RNAcentral is "Chloroflexi bacterium partial 16S ribosomal RNA". It matches the Rfam family "Bacterial small subunit ribosomal RNA", at positions 355 to 776 of the family's 1533-position model. Lineage: Bacteria; Bacillati; Chloroflexota. The record is from RNAcentral.
UGGGGAAUAUUGCACAAUGGGCGCAAGCCUGAUGCAGCCAUGCCGCGUGUAUGAAGAAGGCCUUCGGGUUGUAAAGUACUUUCAGUCGGGAGGAAGGUGGUAAGGUUAAUAACCUUAUCAAUUGACGUUACCGACAGAAGAAGCACCGGCUAACUCCGUACCAGCAGCCGCGGUAAUACGGAGGGUGCAAGCGUUAAUCGGAAUUACUGGGCGUAAAGCGCACGCAGGCGGUUGAUUGAGUCAGAUGUGAAAUCCCCGGGCUUAACCCGGGAAUUGCAUCUGAUACUGGUCAGCUAGAGUCUUGUAGAGGGGGGUAGAAUUCCAUGUGUAGCGGUGAAAUGCGUAGAGAUGUGGAGGAAUACCGGUGGCGAAGGCGGCCCCCUGGACAAAGACUGACGCUCAGGUGCGAAAGCGUGGGGAGCAAACAGG